AGCUGGUUGGUGAGGUAACGGCCCACCAAGGCGACGAUCGGUAGCCGGACUGAGAGGUUGAACGGCCACAUUGGGACUGAGACACGGCCCAGACUCCUACGGGAGGCAGCAGUGGGGAAUAUUGCACAAUGGGGGAAACCCUGAUGCAGCGACGCCGCGUGGAGGAAGAAGGUCUUCGGAUUGUAAACUCCUGUUGUUGGGGAAGAUAAUGACGGUACCCAACAAGGAAGUGACGGCUAACUACGUGCCAGCAGCCGCGGUAAAACGUAGGUCACAAGCGUUGUCCGGAAUUACUGGGUGUAAAGGGAGCGCAGGCGGGAAGACAAGUUGGAAGUGAAAUCUAUGGGCUCAACCCAUAAACUGCUUUCAAAACUGUUUUUCUUGAGUAGUGCAGAGGUAGGCGGAAUUCCCGGUGUAGCGGUGGAAUGCGUAGAUAUCGGGAGGAACACCAGUGGCGAAGGCGGCCUACUGGGCACCAACUGACGCUGAGGCUCGAAAGUGUGGGUAGCAAACAGGAUUAGAUACCCUGGUAGUCCACACCGUAAACGAUGAUUACUAGGUGUUGGAGGAUUGACCCCUUCAGUGCCGCAGUUAACACAAUAAGUAAUCCACCUGGGGAGUACGACCGCAAGGUUGAAACUCAAAGGAAUUGACGGGGGCCCGCACAAGCAGUGGAGUAUGUGGUUUAAUUCGACGCAACGCGAAGAACCUUACCAAGUCUUGACAUCCCUUGACAGGCAUAGAAAUAUGUUUUCUCUUCGGAGCAAGGAGACAGGUGGUGCAUGGUUGUCGUCAGCUCGUGUCGUGAGAUGUUGGGUUAAGUCCCGCAACGAGCGCAACCCUUAUGGUCAGUUACUACGCAAGAGGACUCUGGCCAGACUGCCGUUGACAAAACGGAGGAAGGUGGGGAUGACGUCAAAUCAUCAUGCCCUUUAUGACUUGGGCUACACACGUACUACAAUGGCGUUAAACAAAGAGAAGCAAGACCGCGAGGUGGAGCAAAACUCAGAAACAACGUCCCAGUUCGGACUGCAGGCUGCAACUCGCCUGCACGAAGUCGGAAUUGCUAGUAAUCGUGGAUCAGCAUGCCACGGUGAAUACGUUCCCGGGCCUUGUACACACCGCCCGUCACACCAUGAGAGCCGGGGGGACCCGAAGUCGGUAGUCUAACCGCAAGGAGGACGCCGCCGAAGGUAAAACUGGUGAUUGGGGUGAAGUCGUAACAAGGUAGCCGUAGGAACCUGCGGCUG
RNAcentral lists this ribosomal RNA (1250 nucleotides) under metagenome. Its description in RNAcentral is "bacterial SSU rRNA". It matches the Rfam family "Bacterial small subunit ribosomal RNA", at positions 243 to 1520 of the family's 1533-position model. The record is from RNAcentral.